This 2724-nucleotide long non-coding RNA is filed under the name Triticum aestivum (bread wheat). RNAcentral's name for it is "long non-coding RNA (TAES_LNC015307)". Lineage: Eukaryota; Viridiplantae; Streptophyta; Magnoliopsida; Poales; Poaceae. The record is from RNAcentral.
CCGACUGAUGAGAUCCGCGUCUUGGGCGCGCGUAGAUCCAACAUGGGCUCAACCCCCAUUGUUGGCCUUGUUGGAGCGGAGCGACCGUGCGGUGGCCGGUCUAUGACAAUGGCUCACGGGAGGCCGUAGCCCUCGCCGCCACUGGAUUCUGGUAUGGCUCCCGCCCCUUCUGUUGGCUUCCUUGACACCAUGGCCUCAUUCUGCUGCUUCGACCACAGGUUAGGUUCAUUUGCCUAAGCCGUUAGCCAUAACAGCCGUUUGUGGGCAUGGUGGUAAGCCUAAGGCUGGUGUGUGGCCUCCCUCUUCAAUCGAUUGCUUAAGCUUGGCUACUGCCUUCUCCAAAUCUUAGGGUGUGUGUGUCCAUGCUGACAUGGCGGCGACAGCGUCUAUCGAGGGCUACAACGUGUAUAUGAGUGAGAUGUGUGUGCGUGCAGUAGCCGGUGUGUUGUGUUUGUGGGUUUCCUCUGAAUCUUUAACACUGAAUUUUCUCUGUAUCUUUACACUGCAGGGUACCUAGUAGAGACAGGAGGCAGGUCGACCUCCUUGAUUAUGAUCUCUGUUUUUUCGGAUGUAGGUCUAUGUGGUGCCGUAAUUUUGCCGAGAUACCCUGCCUGCACUGUAAAGAUAUAGAGAAUUAAUUUAGUUUAAUUUUCUCUGAAUUUAUACGAGGCCUAGGUGGUCGGCCUGCCAUAGUUUGUUGUACACACUGCCGGUGGUGUACUAUUGCGGAGGUUGACCUGGCUUGUCUAAUACUAGUAGGCAGGUCGACCUGCCAUAGUUUCUUAUACACGCUGUAGUUCACUGAAUUAAACACGAGUUGAAGAAACUACAGUAGUUCAUCAACCAGCUGCACUGGGCUAUGUGGGCUUCUAUCAAGAUCUAAUUUAGUUUAAUUUUCUACCAAGAUCUAAUUCAGUUUAUAUUUUUUUGACAGUUUGAUGUGUCUCUGUUCUGUAAAUCAAUAUAAUUAAAUGUUCUAUAUGCAUUCAGUUUAGUUUUCUAUCAAAAUAUAAUUCAGUAUGUAUCAAUGUAAUCAGGUGGUGAAUAAUUUCAUCAAAUAGGAGACAUAAUUUCUGUUAGUGUAUUAAUAUGGCGACAUGUUCUAUUUAGAGGUUUCUCCAUACACUUCUGUCCAUAUUGUCAACUGCAGCUCAUUGAAUAUAUAUAACCAGAAUUAAGUUUAAUCUGAAUCUAAGAAGAAAAUUAUGUUGGUACAGUGGCAGUCCUAUAUCUGUACUGCAGAGGUUUAAACUUGUUCAUUUGUGUACUAAGCACAUGUAGUACUGCUACUAUUAGUUGUGCGCCUACUAGUACUAGAACCAAUGCAUGUAAGUUCACUCUCCCUCAACCUGGAGGCACGCACCAAGCUAGCAGUUGCCAACAUAGUGACACAUAUUUCUUCAACUCAUGUGCUCCCUGCCAGGUCGACCUCCAUAGUAGUUUUGCCGACAAGUAAGGAUUGAUGUCUACUCUCUGAUCCUAAAUCUUUUCCUUGAUGUUUUCCCAUCUUUUUUAUGAUCAAUUAACACUGUAAUCUCCUUGAUUAUGAUUUCUGUUUUUCAGGAUGUACGUAGGUCUAGGCGGUGCCAUAGUAGCUGUGCCGCUGCAUGGCGCAAAAUAGAGCUCGAGAGGGCGGCCAUGAUAACUGUGGUGGAGCUGCUCUGUGAUCAUCCAGGGGCUUGCUCUACUGCCACUCCUAUGAUUUCUCCGGUAUUUACAUUCCCCAGCUCAACUGCUACUGAACUGCACCUAUUUAGUUGAUUUAGUUCUGAGUUAGGCAUUUUUCACCAUGGUUUGAUUUUUUACUAAUUUGUUUGUGCCCCUUGGAUCUUGGUGAAAUUUAUCAUCUCAUGCACUUGAAUUAAAGUAACCCCAGUAUGCAUGUUUUUAAGAGCAAUAGUUUAUACAUCUAUCCAGUAUCUCCUAAGAGAACCAUUUGCCACUUAGUUCUAUAGAUUUAUUAGUGGCCGCACCUUAUAGUUAUUUUGCAUGCCAUUUGAAGUUAACUUGUCAAGCAGUUGUUUUUUACUAGUGUAAGUGCCUCGGAUAAACAUUUAGUUUCACGUGUAUACAUCUUGACACAUGAAAAUUUGAAUGCCAUUUUGCCGUCGGGUUUAUAUGGCCUCAACUGCUACUGAGUACUUGUGUUCUCUGAUGUAUGUUCUAUUGCGUUGUCACUUAUCUGUCAACUUGAUUAGACUUUCAUUUAACCCACUUUUAUUUGGAUUAAUUUUAGGCAACCUCACUUGAUUAGAUACUUUGUUAUUCUCGUAUGUAGGGACAGUAAAAUUUAAGAAAUUUGGACAACUGUUAAUUUAUUUUUGAAGUUUGUUCUUAUUCUCUUAUUUCUAUUGUCUACUACUAUCUAAUGUUGUUGUAAAUAUGUUAGGUAUGAUUGGGUAGCAGGCUUCUUGGUGCUGGCCAUCACAAUCCGCCAUGACAUGAUACUUACCAUUAGGAGGGCUGAUGACAAGAACCUGAAUAACAAGCUCAAUAGUAUCAUAUGUUCUGUUGUUGUAAAUUGGAUUGUAUUGGUUCCUAACCUUGUUGUGUGAUAUAUUUUGGCAAUAUAUUUUGUAAAUUAUCAUUUCAUGGAGGAUUUUGUAAGUUGAUGUGGUAUAUAUAAAAAUGGAUGGAUGCAUAUUGAAUAUUUGUGUAAUAUAUGAUCAUUCUUUGGAAAUACUUGGUCUUGGCCCAGAGUUGGUAUUAUGAUUUGUGUAAUGC